UAAAUCGGAAUAGCGCCAGGACCAUUUUGAUUGGUUGACGAGGAUAGAGUUUAUCGAUUGUCGGCGGGUGACUCUAGGGUCUGCACUCUACAGAUCUCAUGUUAAAAACAAGUGUAAGCUUGCAACAAAGCAGGGAUCAAGCAGUGGA
Molecule: non-coding RNA, 148 nt
Filed under: Loigolactobacillus rennini
Lineage: Bacteria; Bacillati; Bacillota; Bacilli; Lactobacillales; Lactobacillaceae
Also listed under: 1 other name
Description: Lactobacillus rennini GlcN6P sequence
Rfam family: glmS glucosamine-6-phosphate activated ribozyme aptamer
About the family: This entry contains a glucosamine-6-phosphate activated ribozyme that is found in the mRNA for GlmS.
Source: RNAcentral